Aethalodelphis obliquidens (Pacific white-sided dolphin) is the source of this 1723-nucleotide long non-coding RNA. RefSeq lists it as uncharacterized. The transcript has 3 exons. NCBI's taxonomy places the organism in Eukaryota, Metazoa, Chordata, Mammalia, Artiodactyla, Delphinidae. The record is from RefSeq and is a predicted model, not a curated record.
CUCGCUGGACCCCCUUGGCUCUCCAGGCCUGACCGUGGCCACGUCCCUCACCAUCUACCCUCCUGGCCGGCCAUCUCCCAAACACAGGGUUAAUCAGGCCGCUCCUCUGCUGGCAGCCACGUAAAGUGUUAAUGUCCUAUCUUAUCUGUGCCCAUGGCCUCUAAGCCUUUCCCCAUUUGAAUAUUGAAACGUAAGAUUACCAAGAUCACCCUGGACACCAAGAAACCUCGCCCACCUCCCAGCCCGUCCAGAUCAGCAGUGAGAAUAUAAGUCUUGAAGCCUGAGGGGGCCUUAGGGACCAAGGCCAGGGCUCGCCAGCAUUUAAAGGUCAGGCUGGAAAAGGACGAAAGUAAAAGUGGCCGUGGAGGAGUGGUAAAGAGACCGCGAUGGGACAGAAACAGAGAAGAGUGUGGUGAGAACCAGAGUGGCCAGAAGCGGCAGUUCUAAAAAGAGGUCAAGUACGUGAGGACAGGGAACUGAUGCAGCGGGACGGGGGGCGGCGUGGGGGCAGUGAGGACAGACGUCCAGUGGAGACCGUCUGUGAAGGGGACAGAGAAAUGAAGGGGAGGUAGAGGACGGGGGUCGGGGGACGUUAGACGUAAAGGAGGUGCUCCGCACCACAGCACGCUCCGUGCUGUUAGGAGUAACCCUCAGGUGACAACCCUCCAGUGAGGGGUCCAGAGGGUGUGGGACCGAGGGGUCCUCAGACUGGACGCAUCGCCCACCGCAACAGGGGGACUGACAGGCUGAAGUGGACCGCCAGGGAGUGCCGGUCGACAGAGGCUGCAGCUGCGUCCUGGAACCUUCUUCAGGCCGCGUGUGCAGGAGGCAGAGUUUUGCAAAGGGAGCGGCUAAAGCAGAGUGUGGGGUGUCUGCUCCAGAGACCCUCUGUUUCUCCACCCAGCACGGCCGGUUCCUUCAGGCGCGGCCAAGGACAACACUGGCCCACGAGCCUGGACCACAUGGAGCUCUCGCUGCAGAGAGAGUUAGGAAGCAAACAGAGCUCACUCGGCCCAGCCCCGCUCAGCUGGCUCCUCUGAAGCCUCACCCAGGGCGGCAACGCGCGGGCAGGCAGUGGGCCUGGGCCGAGCCUGGGCACCUCCCGCCCACAGACAGCAGAGGGUCUGAGCAGGGAAAGCACGGCCGGGCCCCGAUGCACACGUGGUGCAGGUGCAAUGACCUGAGAGGCCGUGAGCCAUGUGCAGGGAGGGGGCGGGGAGUGCCCCAGGGAUGACUUGGUCCGUUUUUAAAGGGCAAGAAGUCCUCUGGGACAGCACAGGGGCAGGGAAGAGGGCUGCGGAGGGAGGGGCGGCACCCCACGUCGCAGGAGCAGGUCAGGCAAGGGCCCAGGUGCAGCCGUGAGAUGCGCCGGCGUGAGUGAGCUUAGUGAUGCGUGUGGGUAGCCACGCAAGCGACUGGUCAUCGGUCUGCAAAGUCCGGUGUGGACGCUCCUCUGUGGACACUCAUCACAGUUUAUGACGUUAUUUUUUCAAUUGUCAGUCUUCUCACUAGAUUGUAAAAGUCACAUCUAUUUCAUCAACCUUAAGAAGAACUUGGGGACUUCCUGGUGGUCCAGUGGGUAAGACUUCACGCUCCUAGUGCAGGGGGCCCGGGUUCGGUCCCUGGCUGGGGUACGAGAUCCUUCAUGCCACAACUAAAGGAUCCUGCGUGCCCCAACUGAGGCCCGGCACAGCUGAAAGAAAUAUGAAUAAAUAAACAUUAA